Molecule: ribosomal RNA, 365 nt
Filed under: uncultured bacterium
Lineage: Bacteria
Description: bacterial SSU rRNA
Rfam family: Bacterial small subunit ribosomal RNA
Source: RNAcentral
GUAGACGAAAGUUACGCUAAUACCGCAUACGAUCUACGGAUGAAAGCGGGGGAUCGCAAGACCUCGCGCGAAUGGAGCGGCCGAUGUCAGAUUAGGUAGUUGGUGGGGUAAAGGCUCACCAAGCCAACGAUCUGUAGCUGGUCUGAGAGGACGACCAGCCACACUGGAACUGAGACACGGUCCAGACUCCUACGGGAGGCAGCAGUGGGGAAUUUUGGACAAUGGGCGCAAGCCUGAUCCAGCCAUUCCGCGUGCAGGAUGAAGGCCUUCGGGUUGUAAACUGCUUUUGUACGGAACGAAACGGUCUGCCCUAAUACGGUGGGCUAAUGACGGUACCGUAAGAAUAAGCACCGGCUAACUACGUG